AAGAGGCAAUCCUAGAAAGGGGUAUGAACCAGACCAGACAGAAUGAAGAGUAUCUUAUUUCAUUGGCACAGAACAAAAGAGUGUCUUUCCUUUCCCAGGGCCUGUGGAGUCUAAGGACUCCAAUGAAAGCAGCCUGGCUGAGCUGUGUCCUGAGGACGGAGUUGCAGCCCGCAGGGGAGAGGAGUCCGCCAAGCAGAAAACAUCAUCACCAAGAGACCUGGCUUCGCACCUGGCUCUUUGCUCUUCAAGAAGAGCUGCCUCUCUUUCUCUGGUCCUAGGCCAAAACAUUCCAGAGAAGGCACAGUCCAGGGCACAGCUCUGGACAGGCAGCCCACCCCUCGCUGGCUGGAGUGAAAGGAGGAGCAGAUCCCAGGAAGACAGACUGAGCAAACAUACCAGAUGCCAUAGACAUCUCUCAUGGCACCAAGCAAGAGGCCAGAUUCUAGGUAUGCAUGGGGGAGGGCAGAAGAGAGAGGGCGGUAGAAGACCUGUCGGGGUGGGGUUGGGGAAGAGUGGGGAAAGGGUCCUUCUGUAGCAUAAGCAUGCUAAUUGGAAGGACAUUCAGUUCUGCUCGCGAUCACAGGUGCCUCAGGCCAUAUAUGUUUCCUGCCAAUUUCCUUUCAACCUUAACUAAUAAGUUCUCCGUAAAUUCUGUCUGAUCUAGUGGGCAAAGUAUAGUACCAUUUUCUGUUUAGCUGUGCUUGGUAUAGCGAGAAAGGUUCCCAAAAAUGUUGUUGCCCUCAUCCCUUUGUCUGUAAGUGUCUAUCCAGCACGAACCCUUUCUUAAUAGGCUCCCUACGAAAUGUGGGAGGUAGUAAUAUUCACCAGCAGUAGCUGCAUCUUUUUACUUGAUAGAAUAUAUCUUCUGGCGGUAAACUCUAGCUGCGAGUGUGAUGGGAGCGUAUUUGCUGUAGAAGCUGGACACAGCGGCCGGGUCUUAGCUUUCCCAGAACGGAUCGCCAGCCCGACAAUGGUGCUAACAGGGAUGUGCAGUGGAAAUGACAGGACUUUGGAGCUAGAAAGCCUCAGACUCGAAUCCAGGUUGUAAAAUAAGGACGAUAAUGACUAAGAACUGACUGACUAAGGGCUGCAAUGCGGCAAGUGGUGCACCAUCCAGAUCACCCUUUGUGACUAAGUCAUUUGUUCCCCCAGCUGCUGAGGGUCCUGGGGCUGAUCCCUCACCACCGAGACCCUUCCUAUGGUUUAUUCAAUCAGAAUAAUUUCAAAAUAACUGAAGUCCUUUACUAAUUCUAUUAGGAAUAAGACUUUGGGUUGCAA
Molecule: long non-coding RNA, 1278 nt
Filed under: Sus scrofa (pig)
Lineage: Eukaryota; Metazoa; Chordata; Mammalia; Artiodactyla; Suidae
Description: lncRNA (ENSSSCG00060009007.1)
Source: RNAcentral